RNAcentral lists this ribosomal RNA (387 nucleotides) under uncultured bacterium. Its description in RNAcentral is "bacterial SSU rRNA". It matches the Rfam family "Bacterial small subunit ribosomal RNA", at positions 30 to 417 of the family's 1533-position model. The record is from RNAcentral.
AUUGAACGCUGGCGGCAUGCCUUACACAUGCAAGUCGAACGGCAGCGCGGGGCAACCUGGCGGCGAGUGGCGAACGGGUGAGUAACAUAUCGGAACAUACCCUAGAGUGGGGGAUAACGUAGCGAAAGUUACGCUAAUACCGCAUACGCACUAAGGUGGAAAGUGGGGGAUCUUCGGACCUCAUGCUCAUGGAGUGGCCGAUAUCUGAUUAGCUAGUUGGUGAGGUAAAGGCUCACCAAGGCGACGAUCAGUAGCUGGUUUGAGAGAACGACCAGCCACACUGGAACUGAGACACGGCCCAGACUCCUACGGGAGGCAGCAGUGGGGGAAUUUUGGACAAUGGGGGGCAACCCUGAUCCAGCAAUGCCGCGUGAGUGAAGAAGGCCU